RNAcentral lists this ribosomal RNA (268 nucleotides) under uncultured bacterium. RNAcentral describes it as "partial 16S ribosomal RNA". It matches the Rfam family "Bacterial small subunit ribosomal RNA", at positions 524 to 794 of the family's 1533-position model. The record is from RNAcentral.
UACGGAGGGUGCAAGCGUUACUCGGAAUUACUGGGCGUAAGAGCGUGUAGGCGGGUAAAUAAGUUGGAAGUGAAAUCCUAUGGCUCAACCAUAGAACUGCUUCCAAACUGUUAACCUAGAAUGUGGGAGAGGUAGAUGGAAUUUCUGGUGUAGGGUAAAUCCGUAGAUAUCAGAAGGAAUACCGAUUGCGAAGGCGAUCUACUGGAACACAAUUGACGCUGAGACGCGAAAGCGUGGGGAGCAAACAGGAUUAGAUACCCCCCGUAGU